This 216-nucleotide ribosomal RNA is filed under the name Triticum aestivum (bread wheat). RNAcentral describes it as "partial small subunit ribosomal RNA". Lineage: Eukaryota; Viridiplantae; Streptophyta; Magnoliopsida; Poales; Poaceae. The record is from RNAcentral.
AUGAUAAAACCGAAGAGAGAUGGAGGAAUAGGAUUUCACGAUAUGCACUUGUUUAACCAAGCAUUAUUAGCACGCCAAGGGUGGAGGUUGAUCCAGUAUCCGGAGAGUCUGUGCGCUAGAGUUUUAAAAUCAAAAUAUUACCACAAGGGAGACCUUCUGGAUACGGUCUUCUCGUCGGACGCGUCCCCUGCUUGGAGAGGCAUAGAAUGUGGUUUG